RNAcentral lists this transfer RNA (64 nucleotides) under Pseudohelice subquadrata. Its description in RNAcentral is "tRNA-Ala". The record is from RNAcentral. Lineage: Eukaryota; Metazoa; Arthropoda; Malacostraca; Decapoda; Varunidae.
AAGGCCAUAGUCAAUAUGUAUGACGUAUGAGUUGCAUUCAUAAAGAGUUUUUCAACUGGCUUUA